This 403-nucleotide ribosomal RNA is filed under the name uncultured bacterium. Its description in RNAcentral is "partial 16S ribosomal RNA". It matches the Rfam family "Bacterial small subunit ribosomal RNA", at positions 30 to 526 of the family's 1533-position model. The record is from RNAcentral.
AUUGAACGCUGGCGGCAGGCCUAACACAUGCAAGUCGAGCGAGCGGCGGACGGGUGUGUAUAGUAUGGGGACCGCCCGACAGAGGGGGAUAACUACUGGAAACGGUGGCUAAUACCCCACACUGUCGGAUAACCCAUAUGGGAUUAGCUAGUAGGUGAGGUAAUGGCUCACCUAGGCGACGAUCCCUAGCUGGUCUGAGAGGAUGAUCAGCCACACUGGGACUGAGACACGGCCCAGACUCCUACGGAGGCAGCAGUGGGGAAUAUUGCACAAUGGGCGCAAGCCUGAUGCAGCCAUGCCGCGUGUAUGAAGAAGGCCUUAGGGUUGUAAAGUAUUUUCAGUCGGGAGGCGUUACCGGCAGAAGAAGCACCGGCUAACUCCGUGCCAGCAGCCGCGGUAAUAC